UCCCUGGUGGUCUAGUGGUUAGGAUUCAGCACUUUCACUGCUGUGGCAAAGGUGCUAUCCCUGGUCUGGGAA
Molecule: transfer RNA, 72 nt
Filed under: Sus scrofa (pig)
Lineage: Eukaryota; Metazoa; Chordata; Mammalia; Artiodactyla; Suidae
Rfam family: tRNA
About the family: Transfer RNA (tRNA) molecules are approximately 80 nucleotides in length. Their secondary structure includes four short double-helical elements and three loops (D, anti-codon, and T loops). Further hydrogen bonds mediate the characteristic L-shaped molecular structure. tRNAs have two regions of fundamental functional importance: the anti-codon, which is responsible for specific mRNA codon recognition, and the 3' end, to which the tRNAs corresponding amino acid is attached (by aminoacyl-tRNA synthetases). tRNAs cope with the degeneracy of the genetic code in two manners: having more than one tRNA (with a specific anti-codon) for a particular amino acid; and 'wobble' base-pairing, i.e. permitting non-standard base-pairing at the 3rd anti-codon position.
Source: Rfam by way of RNAcentral